AUAGCUUUAGGGCUAGCCUCAAGGUGAGAGAUACGGAGGUAGAGCACUGAAUGUCCUAGGGGGUAUUGCACCUACCGAAGACUAUUAAACUCCGAAUGCCGUCAUCUUAUACUUGGGAGUCAGACUGUGGGUGAUAAGAUUCAUAGUCGAAAGGGCAACAGCCCAGAUCGUCAGCUAAGGUCCCUAAAUGUAAGUUAAGUGGUAAAGGAUGUGGGAUUGCACAGACAACCAGGAUGUUGGCUUAGAAGCAGCCACUCAUUCAAAGAGUGCGUAAUAGCUCACUGGUCGAG
This 290-nucleotide ribosomal RNA is filed under the name Clostridioides difficile. RNAcentral describes it as "partial 23S ribosomal RNA". It matches the Rfam family "Bacterial large subunit ribosomal RNA", at positions 864 to 1153 of the family's 2925-position model. The record is from RNAcentral. Lineage: Bacteria; Bacillati; Bacillota; Clostridia; Peptostreptococcales; Peptostreptococcaceae.